RNAcentral lists this ribosomal RNA (951 nucleotides) under uncultured archaeon. Its description in RNAcentral is "bacterial SSU rRNA". It matches the Rfam family "Archaeal small subunit ribosomal RNA", at positions 44 to 1000 of the family's 1478-position model. The record is from RNAcentral.
CUAAGCCAUGCGAGUCGAGAGGUGCAAGACCUCGGCUGACGGCUCAGUAACACGCGGAUAAUCUGCCCUCGAGCGGGGGAUAAUCUCGGGAAACUGAGAAUAAUACCCCAUAGGCCCGGGAAGCUGGAAUGCUCCCAGGCUGAAAUUUCCGGAGCUCGAGGAUGAGUCUGCGGCCUAUCAGGCUGUAGUGGGUGUAACGGACCCACUAACCUUCGACGGGUACGGGCCUUGAGAGAGGUUGCCCGGAGAUGGAUUCUGAGACACGAAUCCAGGUCCUACGGGGCGCAGCAGGCGCGAAAACUUCGCAAUGUGGGAAACCACGACGAGGGAAUCCCAAGUGCCAACGAUUUUUCGUUGGCUGUUGCCCUGUCUAAAAAACAGGGAGAGUAAGGGCUGGGUAAGACGGGUGCCAGCCGCCGCGGUAAUACCCGCGGCCCAAGUGGUGCUCGUUAUUAUUGGGUUUAAAACGUCCGUAGCCGGUCCGGUAAAUUCUUGGGUAAAUCGACUGGCCUAACCAGUCGAAUUCCGGGGAGACUGCCGGACUCGGGACCGGGGGAGGUCGGAGGUACUUCCAGGGUAGGGGUGAAAUCCUGUAAUCCUGGGGGGACCACCAGUGGCAAAGGCGUCCGACCAGAACGAGUCCGACGGUAAGGGACGAAGCCCUGGGGCGCAAACCGGAUUAGAUACCCGGGUAGUCCAGGGUGUAAACGCUGUGCGCUUGGUGUUGGGGGUCCUACGAGGGCACCCAGUGCCGGAGAGAAGUUGUUAAGCGCACCGCCUGGGGAGUACGGUCGCAAGACUGAAACUUAAAGGAAUUGGCGGGGGAGCACCGCAACGGGAGGAGCGUGCGGUUUAAUUGGAUUCAACGCCGAAAAACUCACCAGGGGCGACUGCCAUAUGAAGGCCAAGCUGAUGACCUUGCCUGAUUGGUAGAGAGGUGGUGCAUGGCCA